Molecule: non-coding RNA, 151 nt
Filed under: Salisediminibacterium selenitireducens
Lineage: Bacteria; Bacillati; Bacillota; Bacilli; Caryophanales; Bacillaceae
Description: Bacillus selenitireducens MoCo sequence
Rfam family: Molybdenum/Tungsten riboswitch aptamer (Moco RNA motif)
Source: RNAcentral
AUGGAACUGUGUCUCCGAGUCUGUGACACCUGUCGCUUUUUGGCUAUGGUUCACAGACCUGACCGGCUGGAACUUCCAGCCGGUCACGGGGUUUACGCGGAAACGCGUGGACCUUCCUUGUUUCUCGUAAAGGAGGCGUUUCAAGCAGUCA